GGGCUCACUUCAGCCGCACACAUACUAAGAUUGGAACGAAACACGGAAGAUUAGCAUGGUCCCUGCACAAGGAUGACACGUAAAUUCGUGAAGCAGUCCAUAUUUUU
RNAcentral lists this small nuclear RNA (107 nucleotides) under Dasypus novemcinctus (nine-banded armadillo). The record is from RNAcentral. Lineage: Eukaryota; Metazoa; Chordata; Mammalia; Cingulata; Dasypodidae.